GCUGCGAGGUAGACUGGUGUGCCAGUCUGGUUAUAGGUCGUAAGUAGUCGCACAACUGAUCGUGAGGUUGUACGAGAGGUGGCACCACCAAUCGUCAGGUGCCAAAUCCGGUUGAACGACCAGUCGAGCGACAACCUGCACGAUUGGUGGUGCGUCCAUGCGCGACUUGUGGUACGACUAUGGGAGACCUGUCUGCGACUUUUAAUCGCAGGUUCAAAGUUUUGAACAAAGUCAUCGACCUUGAUACGACUGAUUUUGCGAUCACCCACGACUUUGGCGAUCAGUCGCGUGCUCUUUCUACGAUUUGUGCAAGAUUCCAAAUAAAAUUCGGUCGCAGCUGGGUGGCUGGCUCGGUGUGACUGGGCCUUUACUAAACCAUGCGGGGUUUAUUUACUCUACUUUUUUAUAUUGCCAUUUUGUUUAGAAGAAAAAAACAUACUACUUGAGUAUAGCACAUAUAUAAUUGAGGUAAAUUCCUCAAGCAAAUCGUUCAUUGUUUUCUGUUCAAAGCAUAUACAAGUUUAGUGCAUCUAGAUUACUAUCAAGGACAUCAAUAUAUUCUUUAUUCGAAUUGCUAAAGGCCCUGUCACUCUGUCACGAUUUAUACUACGAUUUCCCACGAAUUACUCAAAGUUAAAAAUCGUCAUUAUUCGCCAAGCCUGUCUUGUGUUUGUUUUUGUUGUUGUUUUUUUUGGUUUGUUUUUUUAUUGGUAUUUUUGUUUUUUGUUUUACAGACGGUGUUAUUUUUUUUUUUAGAAUCAAGUAUGGUACGACUACGAUGUCUGUUCAACAAUAUACAAUGUUUGUGGUGAUUCUUGUACGAAUUGGAGCGAUUGCGUAACGAUCGGGUUGAGAUCUUACUAUGACAGUGAAAGAUGAAAGACGAUUUAAGGAAGCUGUCCCUCUUCCAUACGAUGACAGAGACAUCCCCUAUUUCAUUAUUGGAGAUGAUGCCUUCCCUCUCAGGACAUGGCUCAUGGAACCAUUCUCAAGAGGGAACUUAACCAAUGAAGAGCGUGUAUUCAACUAUAUAUAUAGACUUAGCAGAUUAAGACGAUUUGUAGAAAAUGCUUUGGAAAUACUCGCCAACAUAUGGCAACGUCUUUUACAUGCAAGUUCCAUGCGCCAAGAAACAGAAACUACUUAAUCGAUUGUGUGAGAAUGUUGUUGUCUGCACAAAUUGAUGAAGUUGCGAUUUCCAAACCUCCAAAACUGAAAUCUUGAUCAAGAGGACAAUAAUUACCAUGUGGUCCUGGGAGCCUGGAGAAAUUAUGUUAAUUUUGCAGAUUUGGACAACACUGCUUGAUGCAAUCGAGCAACUAAAGCGGCAAAAACACCGAGGCUGUACUUCAAGCACUCCUACAAUUCCACAAUAUGGGCGGGAACUGUGUUUCUUUUUGUUUUCUCAAACCCCGAAUUACUCCGAUUUUUUAAUUCAUGAGCUAUCAUAUCUCACAAUCGCGAUGUCCAGUGUGACAUAACAUUCUUAAAGUCCACGCUCCUUUCACUAUCCCAUUAGGGUUUCAAACAUGCAUCAACAAGCUCACGACUAGGAUAAUACGCCAGUUUCGAGAUACGAACUCUUCUGUGUAGGAGGUGCAUUUAGUGGAACUUUGAAUGACAAAGUGGGACAGAGUAGACCUACAGUCAGCAAAGAAGACGAUGAAAUGCAUUAAAAGCGCCUUCUCUUUUAAUAUGUAAAUGUGGGAAAUACAAAAUACUGUCGAAAGAAGUGGAAACAUAAAAACAAUGUUAUAUUUGCAAGUAAUAUCUCAAAUAUGGUACUUUUGACUAACGAAAUAACGUGAUAUGAUAAGAAUUCUAUGUAUUUAAUUACUCCCUAAAUACUUAUAACUUACUUAGUUUGUGUAUCAGUCGAAUUCGGGUGAUGUAACAGUGUAUGGGAAACUUACUGAGUACAUUCACUUAUGCAGUGAUGAAAAUUAGUCC
Long non-coding RNA from Ostrea edulis (European flat oyster), 1950 nucleotides. RefSeq lists it as uncharacterized. The transcript has 2 exons. The record is from RefSeq and is a predicted model, not a curated record. NCBI's taxonomy places the organism in Eukaryota, Metazoa, Mollusca, Bivalvia, Ostreida, Ostreidae.